AAUAAGAUGCCUGAUUAAAGGAUUAUCGUGAUAGGAUAAAUCAAGUAUUUCAACAUACUCUUAUUA
Molecule: transfer RNA, 66 nt
Filed under: Thermobia domestica (firebrat)
Lineage: Eukaryota; Metazoa; Arthropoda; Insecta; Zygentoma; Lepismatidae
Description: tRNA-Ile
Source: RNAcentral